Molecule: long non-coding RNA, 1127 nt
Organism: Malaclemys terrapin pileata
Lineage: Eukaryota; Metazoa; Chordata; Testudines; Emydidae
Exons: 2
Source: RefSeq, a predicted model, not a curated record
UCUCCUCAGAUUAGCCCCAGUUGGGCUGUCAUGGUCCUGAUAGUAACCCAUUCACAAGACGCUCACUGAUUCAGUUCCUUGCUUGGAACAAAUGGGAAGAGGAACAACGGCUUCCUUCUGGCUCACAUUAGAAGCAGGAAGCCUGCCAAACAAUCAGUGGGACCACUGGACAAUCGAGGUGCUACGGGAGCACUCCAUGAAGACAAGAGAAGCUAAAGGAAUUCUUUGCUAUUGGCCAAGAUGAUCAAGGAUGCAACCCCAGGCUCUGGGUGUCCUUAAGCCUCUGACUGCCAGAAGCUGGGACUGGACAACAGGGUAUGGAUCACUCCAUAAGUGUAAACAAGGCUGUAGUGAUAAAAACCAAUAGUGACCAAAGAUUUAACAUAUAAGCAAAUUAAAAAUUGGCCCAAGCUUAAAGUGCCCAUACUACUAAGGUUAAAAACUGGGACAUUUUGGAGGCAAACACUUGCUACUCAUGGUGGCUGCUGCCUGUUUUGGCUCAACAGUGACACUGCCAUGUGUCUCAGAAUGGAGGGAUUUUUCCAGUCCCAUGGUAUUCUGAAUGAGUUUAUCAUCCUACUCUGAAAAAUGUUUUAGUUAUUGAAAAAUCCCCCCUUUCAUUGAAAUGAAAAGCCAAGGCAUGAAAGAAGUUCCUGGGACACCAGGACAUAACAUGGAAAACCAGGACUGUGGCAGUAAAAUCAAGCCCUAGGGUUACUUUACCCUAGCUGUCCAAUUCAGAUGUACGUUUGGAUCGAGAAACACAACCCCUGCCCCCAACAUGUGGGUGCCUUUCUCUGAAGUUUUGUUCAGUUUGUUAUGGAGAUAAGGCCCAGAUGCUAAAUUCGGAUCCAGAUUCUGAAUCCAACAUCCUCUUCCCAAAGUUAAGGGGUGUUCAUGGGCUCAGUUUUGGAUUGGGUUCAUCUCUGCUUUUGCGUACAUAUACGGUGUGUGCAUGUAAACAGCAGGACCUUGACUGAGCAGCCUCCUUCCCCGGAUUAUUGCUUGCAUAAGGGAAGCUUAUCGGCAUCUAGAGUUGUGUGCAACUGGUCCUUUUAUAUGCUGUUUUUUCCCCAAAUCCACUUAAUUAGAAAGAGCCUCCAAAAUAAAUAAAUAUAUAAACAAUC